GGUCAAGUGAAGAAGCGCAUACGGUGGAUGCCUUGGCAGUCAGAGGCGAUGAAAGACGUGGUAGCCUGCGAAAAGCUUCGGGGAGUCGGCAAACAGACUGUGAUCCGGAGAUGUCUGAAUGGGGGAACCCAGCCAUCAUAAGAUGGUUAUCUUACACUGAAUACAUAGGUGUAAGAGGCGAACCAGGGGAACUGAAACAUCUAAGUACCCUGAGGAAAAGAAAUCAACCGAGAUUCCCUUAGUAGUGGCGAGCGAACGGGGACCAGCCCUUAAGUUGUAUUGAGAUUAGCGGAACGCUCUGGAAAGGGCGGCCAUAGUGGGUGAUAGCCCUGUACGCGAAAAUCCCUUUGCAAUGAAAUCGAGUAGGACGGGGCACGAGAAACCUUGUCUGAAUAUGGGGGGACCAUCCUCCAAGGCUAAAUACUACUGACUGACCGAUAGUGAACCAGUACCGUGAGGGAAAGGCGAAAAGAACCGCGGAGAGCGGAGUGAAAUAGAUCCUGAAACCGUAUGCGUACAAGCAGUGGGAGCCCACUUUGUUGGGUGACUGCGUACCUUUUGUAUAAUGGGUCAGCGACUUAUUUUCAGUGGCGAGCUUAACCGAAUAGGGGAGGCGUAGCGAAAGCGAGUCUUAAUAGGGCGUCUAGUCGCUGGGAAUAGACCCGAAACCGGGCGAUCUAUCCAUGGGCAGGUUGAAGGUUGGGUAACACUAACUGGAGGACCGAACCGACUACCGUUGAAAAGUUAGCGGAUGACCUGUGGAUCGGAGUGAAAGGCUAAUCAAGCUCGGAGAUAGCUGGUUCUCCUCGAAAGCUAUUUAGGUAGCGCCUCAUGUAUCACUGUAGGGGGUAGAGCACUGUUUCGGCUAGGGGGUCAUCCCGACUUACCAAACCGAUGCAAACUCCGAAUACCUACAAGUGCCGAGCAUGGGAGACACACGGCGGGUGCUAACGUCCGUCGUGAAAAGGGAAACAACCCAGACCGUCAGCUAAGGUCCCAAAGUCAUGGUUAAGUGGGAAACGAUGUGGGAAGGCUUAGACAGCUAGGAGGUUGGCUUAGAAGCAGCCACCCUUUAAAGAAAGCGUAAUAGCUCACUAGUCGAGUCGGCCUGCGCGGAAGAUGUAACGGGGCUCAAACCAUGCACCGAAGCUACGGGUAUCAUCUUUUGAUGAUGCGGUAGAGGAGCGUUCUGUAAGCCUGUGAAGGUGAGUUGAGAAGCUUGCUGGAGGUAUCAGAAGUGCGAAUGCUGACAUGAGUAACGACAAUGGGUGUGAAAAACACCCACGCCGAAAGACCAAGGUUUCCUGCGCAACGUUAAUCGACGCAGGGUUAGUCGGUCCCUAAGGCGAGGCUGAAAAGCGUAGUCGAUGGAAAACAGGUUAAUAUUCCUGUACUUCUGGUUAUUGCGAUGGAGGGACGGAGAAGGCUAGGCCAGCCUGGCGUUGGUAGUCCAGGUUUAAGGUGGUAGGCUGAGAUCUUAGGUAAAUCCGGGAUCUUAAGGCCGAGAGCUGAUGACGAGUGUUCUUUUAGAACAUGAAGUGGUUGAUGCCAUGCUUCCAAGAAAAGCUUCUAAGCUUCAGGUAACCAGGAACCGUACCCCAAACCGACACAGGUGGUUGGGUAGAGAAUACCAAGGCGCUUGAGAGAACUCGGGUGAAGGAACUAGGCAAAAUGGCACCGUAACUUCGGGAGAAGGUGCGCCGGUGAGGGUGAAGCAUUUACUGCGUAAGCCCACGCCGGUCGAAGAUACCAGGCCGCUGCGACUGUUUAUUAAAAACACAGCACUCUGCAAACACGAAAGUGGACGUAUAGGGUGUGACGCCUGCCCGGUGCCGGAAGGUUAAUUGAUGGGGUUAGCGCAAACGAAGCUCUUGAUCGAAGCCCCGGUAAACGGCGGCCGUAACUAUAACGGUCCUAAGGUAGCGAAAUUCCUUGUCGGGUAAGUUCCGACCUGCACGAAUGGCGUAACGAUGGCGGCGCUGUCUCCACCCGAGACUCAGUGAAAUUGAAAUCGCUGUGAAGAUGCAGUGUAUCCGCGGCUAGACGGAAAGACCCCGUGAACCUUUACUAUAGCUUUGCACUGGACUUUGAAUUUGCUUGUGUAGGAUAGGUGGGAGGCUUUGAAGCGUGGACGCCAGUCUGCGUGGAGCCAACCUUGAAAUACCACCCUGGCAACUUUGAGGUUCUAACUCAGGUCCGUUAUCCGGAUCGAGGACAGUGUAUGGUGGGUAGUUUGACUGGGGCGGUCUCCUCCUAAAGAGUAACGGAGGAGUACGAAGGUGCGCUCAGACCGGUCGGAAAUCGGUCGUAGAGUAUAAAGGCAAAAGCGCGCUUGACUGCGAGACAGACACGUCGAGCAGGUACGAAAGUAGGUCUUAGUGAUCCGGUGGUUCUGUAUGGAAGGGCCAUCGCUCAACGGAUAAAAGGUACUCCGGGGAUAACAGGCUGAUACCGCCCAAGAGUUCAUAUCGACGGCGGUGUUUGGCACCUCGAUGUCGGCUCAUCACAUCCUGGGGCUGAAGCCGGUCCCAAGGGUAUGGCUGUUCGCCAUUUAAAGUGGUACGCGAGCUGGGUUUAGAACGUCGUGAGACAGUUCGGUCCCUAUCUGCCGUGGACGUUUGAGAUUUGAGAGGGGCUGCUCCUAGUACGAGAGGACCGGAGUGGACGAACCUCUGGUGUUCCGGUUGUCACGCCAGUGGCAUUGCCGGGUAGCUAUGUUCGGAAAAGAUAACCGCUGAAAGCAUCUAAGCGGGAAACUUGCCUCAAGAUGAGAUCUCACUGGAACCUUGAGUUCCCUGAAGGGCCGUCGAAGACUACGACGUUGAUAGGUUGGGUGUGUAAGCGCUGUGAGGCGUUGAGCUAACCAAUACUAAUUGCCCGUGAGGCUUGACCAU
Pseudomonas syringae pv. tomato str. DC3000 is the source of this 2894-nucleotide ribosomal RNA. It matches the Rfam family "Bacterial large subunit ribosomal RNA". The record is from Rfam. NCBI's taxonomy places the organism in Bacteria, Pseudomonadati, Pseudomonadota, Gammaproteobacteria, Pseudomonadales, Pseudomonadaceae.